Molecule: ribosomal RNA, 492 nt
Filed under: uncultured bacterium
Lineage: Bacteria
Description: partial 16S ribosomal RNA
Rfam family: Bacterial small subunit ribosomal RNA
Source: RNAcentral
AGUGAACGCUGGCGGUAGGCCUAACACAUGCAAGUCGAACGGCAGCACAGUAAGAGCUUGCUCUUACGGGUGGCGAGUGGCGGACGGGUGAGGAAUACAUCGGAAUCUACUUUUUCGUGGGGGAUAACGUAGGGAAACUUACGCUAAUACCGCAUACGACCUACGGGUGAAGGCAGGGGAUCUUCGGACCUUGCGCGAUUGAAUGAGCCGAUGUCGGAUUAGCUAGUUGGCGGGGUAAAGGCCCACCAAGGCGACGAUCCGUAGCUGGUCUGAGAGGAUGGUCAGCCACACUGGAACUGAGACACGGUCCAGACUCCUACGGGAGGCAGCAGUGGGGAAUAUUGGACAAUGGGCGCAAGCCUGAUCCAGCCAUACCGCGUGGGUGAAGAAGGCCUUCGGGUUGUAAAGCCCUUUUGUUGGGAAAGAAAAGCAGCAGGUUAAUACCCCGCUGUUCUGACGGUACCCAAAGAAUAAGCACCGGCUAACUUCGUG